AACGUAGGAGACAAACGUUAUCCGGAGUUACUGGGCGUAAAGGGCGUGCAGGUGGUCUGUUAAGUCUGGCGUGAAAGCUCUCGGCUAAACCGGGAGAGGUCGUUGGAUACUGGCGGACUAGAGGACGGUAGAGGCGUGUGGAAUUCCGGGUGUAGUGGUGAAAUGCGUAGAGAUCCGGAGGAACACCGGUGGCGAAGGCGGCAUCCUGGACCAACACUGACACUGAGGAGCGAAAGCCAGGGGAGCAAACGGG
RNAcentral lists this ribosomal RNA (253 nucleotides) under uncultured bacterium. RNAcentral's name for it is "partial 16S ribosomal RNA". It matches the Rfam family "Bacterial small subunit ribosomal RNA", at positions 524 to 776 of the family's 1533-position model. The record is from RNAcentral.